GAAAGUAAUGAAGGGCGUACGGUGGAUGCCUAGGCUCUUACAGGCGAUGAAGGACGUGAUAAGCUGCGAAAAGCCGCGGUGAGGCGCAAAUGGCCCUUGACCCGCGGAUCUCCGAAUGGGACAACCCAAUAUCUUGAAGAGAUAUUAUCCCGCCGAUGCGGGAGGCGAACGCGGGGAACUGAAACAUCUUAGUACCCGCAGGAAAAGAAAAUAAAGAAUGAUUCCCCCAGUAGUGGCGAGCGACCGGGGAAGAGCCCAAACCGACGUUGUCUCGGCAUCGUCGGGGUUGUAGGACCGCGCCAUCGCAAGAAAGGCCGUGAGUGGAAGCGACUGGAAAGCCGCGCCAUAGAGGGUGACAGCCCCUUACACGAAGCAGCCAGAAGCGUAGCGGACUCCUGAGUAGCGCGGGACACGAGUAAUCCUGUGUGAAUCCGCCGGGCCCAUCCGGCAAGGCUAAAUACUCGUAAGAGACCGAUAGUGAACCAGUACCGUGAGGGAAAGGUGAAAAGUACCCCUUGCAGGGGAGUGAAAGAGUUCCUGAAACCGUACGCCUACAAGCGGUCGGAGCAUCUUGAAUGAUGUGACGGCGUGCCUUUUGCAUAAUGAACCUACGAGUUGCCGUCACCAGCGAGGUUAAGUGCGAUGACGCACCGAGCCGCAGCGGAAGCGAGUCUUAAAAGGGCGCGAUAGUUGGUGGAGGCAGACGCGAAACCGAGUGAUCUACACUUGUCCAGGAUGAAGUCCCGGUAACACGGGAUGGAGGUCCGCACCAAUAAGCGUUGAAAAGCUUCUGGAUGAGGUGAGUGUAGGAGUGAAAGGCCAAUCAAACUCGGAGAUAGCUCGUACUCCCCGAAAGGCAUUUAGGUGCCGCCUCGGACGUUCCCGAUGUGAGGUAGAGCGACUGAUUGGAUGCGAGGGCUUCACCGCCUAUCAAGUCCUGAUAAACUCCGAAUGCGCAUCGGCCAAGUCCGGGAGUAAGGGCAUGGGUGCUAAGGUCCGUGCCCGAGAGGAGAAGAAUCCAGACCAUCGGCUAAGGUCCCGAAAUACUGGUUAAGUUAGACUAACGAAGUCCGGCCCCCAAGACAGCUAGGAUGUUGGCUUGGAAGCAGCCAUUCAUUCAAAGAGUGCGUAACAGCUCACUAGUCGAGGAGCUGGGCGUGGAUAAUAAUCGGGUAUGAAACCAGUUACCGAAGCCGUGGGAUGCUUAAGCAUCGGUAGGGGAGCAUUGCAUGCGGCUUAGAAGGCGGGGCGCGAGCCCCUCUGGAGCGCAUGGAAACGCAAAUGUAGGUAUAAGUAACGACAAGGGGGGUGGGAUGCCCCCCCGCCGAAAGACCAAGGUUUCCUGAACAACGCUAAUCGGUUCAGGGUCAGUCGGGUCCUAAGCAUAAGCCGUAUGGCGAGGGCGAUGGACGAAACGGUUAAUAUUCCGUUACUGUCUUGGUGUGUGACGCGGCGACGGAGUAGUGACACGGCCGCCUCCUGACGGAAAAGGGGGUUGAAGCGCAAAGGUGUCGAGGAAGGCAGGCAAAUCCACCUUCCGAGCCGAAGCGCGAAAGUACGCCGGGCCCUUUGGGGCAAGGCGAUAGUGCCGGUAAUCAGACUUCCAAGAAAACCCGCUAAACUUCAGCACCAAGUCACCCGUACUCCAAACGGACACACGUGGUCGGGUAGAAUAUACUAAGGCGCUUGGGAGAUUCACGGUUAAGGAACUAGGCAAAUUGACCCCGUACCUUCGGAAUAAGGGGUCCUCGCUUUUGCGAGGCGCAGAGAAUAGGUCCAGGCAACUGUUUAACAAAAACACAGGGCUGUGCAAAUUUGAAAGAAGAAGUAUACAGCCUGACACCUGCCCGGUGCCGGAAGGUUAAGAGGAGAGCUCAUCAGCGAUGAGAAGGCUUGAAUUGAAGCCCCGGUAAACGGCGGCCGUAACUAUAACGGUCCUAAGGUAGCGAAAUUCCUUGUCGGGUAAGUUC
This 1970-nucleotide ribosomal RNA is filed under the name human gut metagenome. Its description in RNAcentral is "bacterial LSU rRNA". It matches the Rfam family "Bacterial large subunit ribosomal RNA", at positions 1 to 1983 of the family's 2925-position model. The record is from RNAcentral.